AACGUGGAAUGGCUAACAUAGAAUGAAAUACAAGGGAAUAGAUAGAACAGAGGAAACCUGAAAUCAUCAUUCAUACAAGAGAAUAUAAUGAAAGAAAAAUUCAAUCGUUUUCGUCAUCGAAUGUUCUCAACAACGUGAAGUAAGAAGCUGCUGUCUUCAAGACCUACAAAGAAAAUCAAGGAAAAAAAAAAAUAAAAUAACGUAAAUAAGAAAAAGAAGAAAAGGAAAGAAAAAGAAAAAAAUACAAAAAAAAAGAAAAUACAAAACAAAUUAAAAAAAGAAAAAGAAAAGAAAGAAAAAGUACGUAAGUUUUCAAUCUCUUAUAAAUUCCCAUGAGUUUGUUAUUAAUAUUCUUCUUCUUCUUCUUCUUCUUAUUAUUAUUAUUAUUAUUAUUAUUAUUAUUAUUAUUAUUAUUAUUAUUAUUAUUAUUAUUAUUAUUAUUGUUAUAAUAUUAAUUUUAUUGUUACCGCCAUACAUGUUUCGAGAGAGACAGGAAAAAAUCCGCCUGCAGUUAUGCAACAAGGCUUUUGUGCUCGGAUCAUAAUCAUUAUAAGACUUCCACUUAUGCUGGUAAAAAUUUCUGAAGGGAGGAAGGGCCAAUUUGCGGCGUAGGCGCCCUCGCUCACAGCUUGACUGGCAAUCAAUACCUCAUUUGCCGUCAAAGUUAUUGCAAAGAGUUGGAAAAAGCAUCCGUUGAACAUUUGAAAUCCAGCUACGCAAAGCAUCACGCUUGAUAUUAACAAUUGGCACAACAUCGUUUUUCAAUGAUACGUUAACGUCCCAAUCAAAAAUCGUCUCGAGCUUGUGCUGUAGUAUUUUGAAUUGACCGGCGGCGUGCAUGCUUAAGAGGCAUAAAAAAUUAUCGAAACAGGCGAAACAAACGGCGGUGUGUAUCAGGGCGAGAGUCUGCGAAAUGAAAUGUUUCUGGAAAAAAAUCAAUUUGAAAUAUCGAUGGAUAUUAAUUGUUAUUGGGGGAAAUUUAUAAAGUGACAACGAUUGAAAUUCUUCUGAAACAACAGUCGAGGCUUAAUGCGAUUAAAGAUGAGUGGAAAGAGUAGAAAAAAAUGGAAAAAGGAAAGAAGAAGAAGAAGAAGAAGAAGAAGAAAAUAAAAGAAAAAAAAGGGAGAGAGAGAGAGAGAGAGAGAAAAAAAAUUGAAAGAAAAUAUAAUUGUCUCGAAGAUAUUACCUCAAUCGUAAAGAAUAUCUCGAAAUAAGGGCUCAUUGAAAAAGAAAGGAGCACAGAGGAUUGAAUCUAUACAAAGGAAUUAAAAUUAAUGAACUGGAUUCUAAAGCAUAUGUGAAAAACAAAAAGAAAGAAAGAAGGGAAGGAAGAAAUAAAAGGACAUAUCGCAAAAAUUUGCGAUGAUAGAAAAAGAAAAAAUAGAGAAAGAUAAAGAGACAGAAAGAGAGAGAGAGAGAGAGAGAGAGAGAAGAAGAAGAAAGAUGAAUUUUUUCGUACUAUUUUUUACGGCAAGUAUCGUAUAACAACGGUAUAUAAUAGUAACGUUAGAUAAUAUAAUAAAUAAUUAUCUAUUUACAUGCAGACAACUAAACCGUACGCUUAAAUCUUAAUGCAUCUAUUACAAACA
Molecule: long non-coding RNA, 1589 nt
Organism: Vespa velutina
Lineage: Eukaryota; Metazoa; Arthropoda; Insecta; Hymenoptera; Vespidae
Exons: 5
Source: RefSeq, a predicted model, not a curated record